CCUACGGGAGGCAGCAGCAAGGAAUUUUCGGCAAUGGGCGCAAGCCUGACCGAGCAACGCCGCGUGGAGGAUGACGGCCUUCGGGUUGUAAACUCCUUUUCCAGGGGAUGAUGAUGACCGUACCCUGGGAAUCAGGCUCGGCUAACUCUGUGCCAGCAGCCGCGGUAAU
This 169-nucleotide ribosomal RNA is filed under the name uncultured bacterium. Its description in RNAcentral is "partial 16S ribosomal RNA". It matches the Rfam family "Bacterial small subunit ribosomal RNA", at positions 338 to 524 of the family's 1533-position model. The record is from RNAcentral.